Molecule: ribosomal RNA, 235 nt
Filed under: uncultured bacterium
Lineage: Bacteria
Description: partial 16S ribosomal RNA
Rfam family: Bacterial small subunit ribosomal RNA
Source: RNAcentral
GAUCCUGGCUCAGGAUGAACGCUAGCGACAGGCUUAACACAUGCAAGUCGAGGGGCAGCGGGGUGUAGCAAUACACCGCCGGCGACCGGCGCACGGGUGAGUAACGCGUAUGCAACUUGCCUAUCAGAGGGGGAUAACCCGGCGAAAGUCGGACUAAUACCGCAUGAAGCAGGGAUCCCGCAUGGGAAUAUUUGCUAAAGAUUCAUUGCUGAAAGAUGGGCUCGCGUCUGAUUAG